Molecule: long non-coding RNA, 234 nt
Organism: Thalassophryne amazonica
Lineage: Eukaryota; Metazoa; Chordata; Actinopteri; Batrachoidiformes; Batrachoididae
Exons: 3
Source: RefSeq, a predicted model, not a curated record
GGCAGCAUGGUGGCUUAGUGGUUAGCACUGUUGCCUCACAGCAAGAAGGUCAUGGGUUCAAUUCCCGCCUGUGGUCUUUCUGCGUGGAGUUUGCCUGUUCUCCCCGUGGUUGCGUGGGUUCACUCCGGGUGGUCCGGCUUCCUCCCACAUCCAAGAAUACGCAGGUUAGGUGGAUUAGAAUCUUUAAAUUGUCUGUAGGUGUGCGUCUGGGUGUGAAUAUGAUUGUUUGUCUGU